GUGAAAAAACAAUAUUUCUAAGUUAAUUUUAUUGGUGUGGAGUUCUGGUAUACACACACACACACACCCCUAAUAUUACAGGUAUUCUCAUGGGACGAACUGCUCGAUGCUGUUUAAUUUUGUUCAAAACUCGGAUUAAAAUAGCCGAACUGUGACUAUAGGCAAGUUGGAGAAUUUUACAAGUCAGCUUGAAUUAAGAUUAUAGUACAAGGGUUAAUAAUUUUAAGUGAUUUGGCAUGAGGCUAUAUAUUAAGGCAAUGUUUAAAUUUUUUGGUAAUCACA
Pelobates cultripes (western spadefoot toad) is the source of this 282-nucleotide non-coding RNA. NCBI's taxonomy places the organism in Eukaryota, Metazoa, Chordata, Amphibia, Anura, Pelobatidae. The record is from the annotation of a GenBank genome assembly.